This 987-nucleotide long non-coding RNA is filed under the name Capsella rubella. RNAcentral describes it as "long non-coding RNA (CRUB_LNC005218)". Lineage: Eukaryota; Viridiplantae; Streptophyta; Magnoliopsida; Brassicales; Brassicaceae. The record is from RNAcentral.
AAUUUUGCGUGUAGGUAGAAACCUAAACUUCAUCCAACAAAUUAAGUUGGUAUCUUUAAAUAAAAAAUAUGAAAUAUGAAGAAAACCAAAUGAAGUAUCUAAAUAUGGCCUUGUGGGCCGACAAAAAAAAAAAAAUAUGGCCUUGUGGAAAAAUACCUCGUGAGAAAAAUUAUAUUAAAAAAAAAAAAAAAAAAAGAAGAGAAAAUGGAUUUAGGGUUUUAGGUGAAAUAUAAAUAUUUCAUAUGCUUACUGACAGAAGCAAGCCCUCAUGCUCUUCGACACACCCACUCUCUCUAUUUACUUCCAUCCAUCAAUCUCAAUCUAUUUUUAUUUUUCUUUUGACUUUUUUUUUUUUUUUUUUUAACUUUUGCUUGCUCUAUAUUCUUUCCAAAGUUUUUUGAUCAAUAUAUAUAUUGACUAAGGCCAAAUAAUUUUGCUUUUGCGCAAAUAUUCUGGUUAGUUCUCCAUAUUAAUUAAUUACGUUGAAUAUCUAUGCUACAACCUUCUGACCAUUACUUGAUACAAAGAAGUUGAGAUAUGCGACCUUUAAUAUAUUGGUAAGUAUAAGAUACUCGGUAUAAGAAUUAAGAGAUAUGACUAAUGACUGGAAUAAGACUAAAUAUUUUGAAGGACGAUAUGACCUAAUAGGAAAAAAUAAUGUUUUAAUAAGAGGAACUCCACAAGAAUUGUAUAAAAGGAGAAGAGACAACACUCUGGUUUUCGGGUGUUCGGUUCGUGAAACCGACACGUGAGGUUGAUUUAGGUAACAUUUGUCGUUAACAUGUGAAUCCAACAUCUUAAUUUUAAUCAAAUAAGAAUAGCAAAUAAUGGUAUCUUUGUUUUUCUUUCAUAGUGAUCUAAGUAAUCAAUUUUGACUGCUUAACCAAUCACAAGUCAAAUCUUGAGUAGUUGGCUUGGCUUGGCUCCAGAUUUCAAGUGUUUGCUGCCUUGCUGCCAUCUGCUCAGGCUUAUAUAUUACUGUAUAGC